This 270-nucleotide ribosomal RNA is filed under the name uncultured archaeon. Its description in RNAcentral is "partial 16S ribosomal RNA". It matches the Rfam family "Archaeal small subunit ribosomal RNA", at positions 477 to 747 of the family's 1478-position model. The record is from RNAcentral.
CUGCAGCCCGAGUGGUGAUCGAUUUUAUUGAGCCUAAAGCGUCCGUAGCCGGACUAGUAAACCCUUGGGUAAAUUGGGCAGCUUAACUGUCCAAAUUCCGAGAGGACUGCUAGUCUUGGGACCGGGAGAGGUCAGAGGUACUCAAGGGGUAGGGGCUAAAUCCUGUAAUCCUUUGGGGACCACCAGUGGCGAAGGCGUCUGACUAGAACGGAUCCGACGGUAAGGGACGAAACCCUGGGGCGCGAACCGGAUUAGAUACCCGAGUAGUCC